UCAGGCCUAACACAUGCAAGUCGAGGGGUAGAACAUUUCGGUGUUUGAGACCGGCGCACGGGUGCGUAACGCGUAUGCAACCUACCUUUUACAGGGGAAUAGCCCAGAGAAAUUUGGAUUAAUGCCCCAUGGUAUAUUUAGAUGGCAUCAUCUGAUUAUUAAAGUUCCAACGGUAAAAGAUGGGCAUGCGUCCUAUUAGCUAGAUGGUAAGGUAACGGCUUACCAUGGCAACGAUAGGUAGGGGUCCUGAGAGGGAGAUCCCCCACACUGGUACUGAGACACGGACCAGACUCCUACGGGAGGCAGCAGUGAGGAAUAUUGGACAAUGGGCGCAAGCCUGAUCCGGCCAUGCCGCGUGCAGGAAGAAGCAUCUAUGGUGUAAAGCUGCUUUUGUACGGGAAGAAACACUCCUACGGUAGGAGCUGAC
Molecule: ribosomal RNA, 427 nt
Filed under: uncultured bacterium
Lineage: Bacteria
Description: bacterial SSU rRNA
Rfam family: Bacterial small subunit ribosomal RNA
Source: RNAcentral